Molecule: ribosomal RNA, 497 nt
Filed under: uncultured bacterium
Lineage: Bacteria
Description: partial 16S ribosomal RNA
Rfam family: Bacterial small subunit ribosomal RNA
Source: RNAcentral
GAUGAACGCUGGCGGCGUGCCUAAUACAUGCAAGUCGAGCGAACAGACGAGGAGCUUGCUCCUCUGACGUUAGCGGCGGACGGGUGAGUAACACGCGGAUAACCUACCUAUAAGACUGGGAUAACUUCGGGAAACCGGAGCUAAUACCGGAUAAUAUAUUGAACCGCAUGGUUCAAUAGUGAAAGACGGUUUUGCUGUCACUUAUAGAUGGAUCCGCGCCGCAUUAGCUAGUUGGUAAGGUAACGGCUUACCAAGGCAACGAUGCGUAGCCGACCUGAGAGGGUGAUCGGCCACACUGGAACUGAGACACGGUCCAGACUCCUACGGGAGGCAGCAGUAGGGAAUCUUCCGCAAUGGGCGAAAGCCUGACGGAGCAACGCCGCGUGAGUGAUGAAGGUCCUCGGAUCGUAAAACUCUGUUAUUAGGGAAGAACAAAUGUGUAAGUAACUAUGCACGUCUUGACGGUACCUAAUCAGAAAGCCACGGCUAACUACGUG